AUCCUACCAACAUAGUAGUGAGUAGGGUUAAUUUUGAUGUGCUACGACACGCAUCACAUGCCCUUCUCCUUUCACCUCUGUGCGUACGCCAAGAAUGGGCACUUCUAGCAUCCUUUCUUUUUCCAAAAAAAAUUGAAAAAAAUACCAAAUAUAUUCUUGUCUGAGUUUGAAUUCAAAUAAGAGUCUUAUCAGCAAGGGAUGCC
This 203-nucleotide long non-coding RNA is filed under the name Elaeis guineensis (African oil palm). RNAcentral's name for it is "long non-coding RNA (EGUI_LNC065041)". The record is from RNAcentral. Lineage: Eukaryota; Viridiplantae; Streptophyta; Magnoliopsida; Arecales; Arecaceae.